UGGGGCCUUAGACAAAGUAACAAUUUAAAAACGAUAACGAAGUUAGAAAAGUCUAAAAUGUAUGGAGCUGCGUUAAGUCACGUGGUCCAUCGACAUCGUUAUCGCAAUUUGGUAGACAAUGUAACAUUUCAUAACGAAACCAUAAAGUAACGAAUACGUUACCGAACGUUAUCGUGUUUAUUCCAUACAAAUGCGUAGACAAGCGGCACUUUCAGUGUUCGUCUUCGCCUCGAUCGUGAUCGUCAUUAAGGAUAACGAAACGAACGCUAAAACGUUGUAGUUAUCGACUAAUAUCGACACAAGAUGGCCGAAUUUCAUUCUACAGCUGAUUUUUGACCUUGGUUGAUGACAUACUCUUGAGUAUUUAUUUUAUGUUAGAGGCAUUACUGCAGGUUAAAUAAAUUAUAAAAUGCAUUCUCUUCGUUUAUUGUGGGCUGUGCACAAUGAGAACGCCUGGGAGAGGCGUCUAAACCGAUUAAAUGCGGCGACGGCUAUUGGAAACAAUUGGAGAAAUGCCUGAAUUGUUUUUCAACUAACAUUUCAGACUUAAUAAAAGAGCAUUUAGGAAAUUAUGCAAGGAGCUAGAAGCUCAUGUACGAUUAAAAGGUUCUACUGAGAUUCCCCUGGAACUAAAGGUGCUGUGUGCUCUUAGCUUUUUAGCUACUCGCUUGCCGCUGUCUCGAAGGGGGUCGCUCAAACGAGGGUCGGGAGAAACAGCAGACUGCGGUGUCGCUGGCGAUCUCAACCGCGGACCACGCCUGGUGGAUGGAGAAAUAUUAUUUAUAUUAAAUAUUUAUGUAUAAGAAUUUUUAUAAAUAAUAAUUCAUAACCAGAUUAACCAAGUUAAAAACUAAUUUAUCAAAAAAUUUAAUGGUGUCUUUCAUGUAAGUGAAGUUACUUGGUUGACUAAUGUUAAUAAGAAUACUUUAUAAAACAUUUCGAUUUAUUUAUUUGCCAUCUACCUACUAGAGACAAUUAAGUAGCUCAUUUUUGAGCAGAUCCCUUGAAGGUGUAUACCUAGUACUUACAUUAAUUUAAAUCCUAGCUUUUCUAUAGUCUUGUCCAUAGUUAUAAGUAUAAUAUAUGUGUAUAUGAGAUUAAAAAGCCAAUUUGUCAAGAACUUUUGAAAUUAAUUGAAAAAUAACAAUAACAUGCAGGUUUGGACACCAAAGUAUAGCUUGUACUAUACUAUAUAUGUACUUAUUUGAAUUUUUGUAGUAAGGAGGUUAAUGUUUAGCUGUAUGUUUUCUUUUACAUAUUUGCUUAAAAGAAAACUUACAACUAAGAAAGCAAAUGUUUUAUGGUAUAUGCCAAUAAACAUUUCUUGUUUCUUUCUUACUAUAUGGGUGUCAGAGAUUGAUCAUCAUCAUCAUCAUCAUAAUUAUAAAAAGUCCCCAGUCUAGUUAUAACAGAGAAAAUUAUUACAAGCCAAUUUUCAUAACCACAAGGGUGUGUCCACUUAUCCAAAACCCUUUAGAAAAUAGCUUGCUAGCCACUCUACCAUCACACCAGUCUUUCCAAAAAUGUUCAUUAGAUCCUUACUUUUUAUCACUUGUCUGUAGUCUUGCUGCCACCACCACUGACAGCAUUCAAUAUGUUUGUCAGUUCAGUCCACAGUCGGUCUGACCGUACCCAACCUAGUGAUGCAGCAAGAGGCCUCACCGGGUCACCAUGACUGUAACAUAAACAAACAAAGAUUCAGUAUAAGUACUUCAUUGUUAAGAUUGUGUCAUUGUGUACAUUACAUACUAGUGAAUACAA
Molecule: long non-coding RNA, 1761 nt
Organism: Spodoptera frugiperda (fall armyworm)
Lineage: Eukaryota; Metazoa; Arthropoda; Insecta; Lepidoptera; Noctuidae
Exons: 2
Source: RefSeq, a predicted model, not a curated record